Molecule: ribosomal RNA, 1359 nt
Filed under: Triticum aestivum (bread wheat)
Lineage: Eukaryota; Viridiplantae; Streptophyta; Magnoliopsida; Poales; Poaceae
Description: partial small subunit ribosomal RNA
Source: RNAcentral
AUGCCGACCAUCACGCACUACGUCUUGGACCCCUUCCUGGAGACCGGCUCCCUUCCCAACCUCCAGAAGCUUGUUCCCAAGCCGCCUCCAGCUGCGCCGCUACCCCCUGAGAAGUCCUCCGAGAAGCCCAUACCUGUGCCGGUGGCUCCUGCCAGGACCAGCACCUUGCCAGCGCUCUACUCCACGCCCGAGAGCACGCCGCUGCCAGACUCGCCGUCAUCGUUCCCUGGAACCUGGUCGCCGUAUCUCAUCAACCAUAAACGCCGUGGACCUGGCCUGAUCAAGACAUCUUCCCAGGGCGAUGUCGGAAGUGAGGGUAGCCUGCCGAAGUUUCCCGAGGGGCUGCCUGCUUUGCCGAAAAAGUCUGAAGCCUUUCGAGUGCAGGAGUCUGAGUUUAGGUUCUCACAAGAGAGUGAUGGUGUGGUUAACAAUGGUGUGAAGGAGACCUUGGAUGGGCAGAAUGAAGGGGUGCAGAAAGGCAAGGCGACCCAUUUCGGCCAAGAUGAGCAGGAUCAGCCCGAGUUCGAGUUUCGGCAUGAAAGUCCAGAUGCGUUGGUGAGGCCUGUCAAUGUUGGAAGGCUUGUCAACAAUGGAAUGCCAAGAGAUGGCGAAAAUGAUGCCUUCCUUGAACCUCAGGAUUCACAGAGUGUGACUAGUAACUCUGAGGCUGAGGAUGCUGGUGGGCAGGGGUGGUGGAAGCCCAGUUCUCCUUAUGGGACGUCUGUUGGCACACCUGGUGCAGAAUUUUACGACGCAUUUGAAGAAAUAUCAAGCGAUGGUGCAACUCGAUCUUCUCGAUGUAUUGAUGACGAAUACCGUGAAAUGCGGUUAAGCAUGUUGACAGAAAUUGAGGGUAGGAAACAAGCUGAGGAGGUAGCUGAGACCUGGCAAAAGGAAUGGAAGAAGCUUAGUCAUCACCUAUCGCUGAUCGCCUUGUCACUUCCAUCUCCAACUGUAGCUGAGAACGAUGAUGAUACAAGUGCGGAUCCUGGAGCUGAGUUGUGCCAACAAAUAACUGUUUCACAACUGGUAUCUGCUGCUAUUGCCCGGGGAAUUGCUCGUGUAGAAGUUGAGUCAGAGAUGGAAAGUGUGAUUUCAGCAAAGAACUUUGAGAUCGCAAGGCUAUCAGAUAGGGUCCAGUACUAUGAAGCAGCAAACAGGGAGAUGUCUCAAAGAAACCAAGAAGCUAUCGAGAUGUCCAGGCAACAGCGGAACAAGCGUAAAAUGAGGCAGAAGUGGUUCUGGGGUUCAGUUGGCAUAGCAGUUACCCUCGGCACAGCAGCCAUUGCCUGGUCCUACAUGCCGGCGAGCCAGUCCCAGGCAGGGGACUCGAAUAGCACCAACACCAACAGCGAUUAG